UAGCGGAGAAAUUCCAAUCGAACUCGGAGAUAGCUGGUUCUCCUCGAAAUAGCUUUAGGGCUAGCCUUGUUUAGUAGCAUGUGGAGGUAAAGCACUGAAUAUGUGAGGGUUCUUACCAGAAUACCGAUCAUUAUCAAACUCUGAAUGCCAUGUGUGUAAGAACAGGAGUCAGACAGUGACAGCUAAGUGCCAUUGUCAAAAGGGAAAGAGCCCAGACCAACAGCUAAGGUCCCAAAAUUGUAGUUAAGUGGAAAAGGAUGUGGGAAUUCAUAGACAACCAGGAUGUUGGCUCAGAAGCAGCCAUUCAUUUAAAGAGUGCGUAAAAGCUCACUGGUCGAAGUAGGCCUGCGCCGAAAAUUACCGGGGCUAAACUACAUACCGAAGCUUUGGAUUUGGUACGUAAAGUAUUAAGUGGUAGAGGAGCGUUGUAUAAAGAUUGAAGCUAUACUGAAAAGAGUAGUGGACGAUAUACAAGAGAGAAUGCCGGAAUAAGUAGCGAGAGCACAGUGAGAAUCUGUGCCGCCGAAAACCUAAGGUUUCCUGGGGAAGGUUCGUCCGCCCAGGGUAAGUCGGGACCUAAGACGAGGCUAAAGCAGCGUAGUCGAUGGAAAGCAGGUAAAAGAUUCCUGCACUACCGAAAUGCGAUAUACAAUAUAUCAUGACGCAUCAGAAGAGUCUAAGCGAGCAAAUGGAAAAGUUCGUACCGCAAGGUGGAGUGAAAAAUAGUAACGAAGUAGAUAAAUCAGGUGACAAGAAAAGUGAUAUAGGAGCAUAGAGGUACUCGUACCGUAAACCGACACAGGUAGGAAGAAAGAGAAUUUUCAGGCGAACGAGAGAAUCAUUGUUAAGGAACUCGGCAAAUUAACCCCGUAACUUAGGGAUAAGGGGAGCCAAUAGCGAUAUUGGUCGCAGAGAAAUGGCCCAAGCAACUGUUUAGCAAAAACACAGGUUUCUGCCAAAUCGAAAGAUGAAGUAUAGGAGCUGACGCCUGCCCAGUGCUGGAAGGUCAAGGGGAAGAGUAAACGUUUCGAUGUGAAGCUCUGAACUUAAGCCCCAGUGAACGGCGGCCGUAACUAUAACGGUCCUAAGGUAGCGAAAUUCCUUGUCAGGUAAGUUCUGACCCGCACGAAAGGCGUAAUGAUUUGGGCACUGUCUCGACAAUGAACUCGGCGAAAUUGUAGUACUAGUGAAGAUGCUAGUUACCUGUGAUAAGACAGAAAGACCCCAUGGAGCUUUACUGUAGCUUGAUAUUGAGACUAGGUAAGAGAUGUACAGAAUAGAUGGGAGACUAUGAGAUAAGGACGCCAGUUCUUAAGGAGUCACCUUUGGGAUACCAUCCUUCUUUUACUUGGAAUCUAACUAGUUGCCAUGAACUGGUAAUAGGACAGUGUCAGGUGGGCAGUUUGACUGGGGCGGUCGCCUCCUAAAGAGUAACGGAGGCGUUCAAAGGUCAGCUUAACACGGUCAGAAAUCGUGUGAUGACGUGCAAAGGCGUAAGCUGGCUUGACUGCAAGACUGACAGGUCGAGCAGACGCGAAAGCGGGACUUAGUGACCCGAUGGUUGUGAGUGGAAAUGCCAGAGCUCAACGGAUAAAAGUUACCCUGGGGAUAACAGGCUUAUCUCCCCCGAGAGUCCAUAUCGACGGGGAGGUUUGGCACCUCGAUGUCGGCUCAUCGCAUCCUGGAGCGGUAGUACGUUCCAAGGGUUGGGCUGUUCGCCCAUUAAAGCGGUACGCGAGCUGGGUUCAGAACGUCGUGAGACAGUUCGGUCC
RNAcentral lists this ribosomal RNA (1772 nucleotides) under human gut metagenome. RNAcentral describes it as "bacterial LSU rRNA". It matches the Rfam family "Bacterial large subunit ribosomal RNA", at positions 816 to 2637 of the family's 2925-position model. The record is from RNAcentral.